UGGGGAAUAUUGGACAAUGGGCGCAAGCCUGAUCCAGCCAUGCCGCGUGCAGGAUGACGGUCCUAUGGAUUGUAAACUGCUUUUGUACGAGAAGAAACACUCCUUCGUGAAGGAGCUUGACGGUAUCGUAAGAAUAAGGAUCGGCUAACUCCGUGCCAGCAGCCGCGGUAAUACGGAGGAUCCAAGCGUUAUCCGGAAUCAUUGGGUUUAAAGGGUCCGUAAGCGGUUUAGUAAGUCAGUGGAAAGCCCAUCGCUCAACGGUGGAACGGCCAUUGAUACUGCUAAACUUGAAUUAUUAGGAAGUAACUAGAAUAUGUAGUGUAGCGGUGAAAUGCUUAGAGAUUACAUGGAAUACCAAUUGCGAAGGCAGGUUACUACUAAUGGAUUGACGCUGAUGGACGAAAGCGUGGGUAGCGAACA
RNAcentral lists this ribosomal RNA (420 nucleotides) under uncultured bacterium. Its description in RNAcentral is "bacterial SSU rRNA". It matches the Rfam family "Bacterial small subunit ribosomal RNA", at positions 355 to 774 of the family's 1533-position model. The record is from RNAcentral.